AGAAGUGUUGGCAUUUCUUAUCUCUGCAUUUGAACUUGUCAAUAUUUGUGACCUAACCUUAAUACUGGUAUUAUAUUUGCAGUCUUGAUCCUGAACACAAGAAGGAGUCGAUUGAAAAGUAUUUGGGUGCUACUCAGCCUCGGGAAAAUUAACGGAGGGUUAAAUGCACAAGUGAAUCUAUUUAGAACUUCUGUUUCUCACAACAGAAAAACACCAAGAAGAAAACAAAAUAUCAUUCUGAAGCCCCCCUUUUGGUUACCACUGUGGAGACUGUAUCAUGUAAGUUGAAGCUCCUACAGAAUGUGCAAGCUCAAUGCAACAUGCCUAAAGCCAAGUGAUUUGGAAUAUAAAUCCAUCUGGUCGCCAGAGAAGGGGGAUUCAUAUGUUUUUUUCUGGUUUACUGGUGGUGAAGCCAUCAAAUCGAUUCAUUCUUUGCUGAGAAGAGGAGAUAGUAAUCUUGUAGAAAAUGUAAAUACCAGGUUAUAUUAAUACAGUUUACUUGCAAAGUCGAAAUUUGUGAUGUAAUCAUUUCAUCAGUAUUAGAUUUUGUACAGUAACACCUCAUAUUCUUGGAGGACGUAGUUUUAUUGUUUGCAAUCAUGUUUGUUGUAUAUAGCACAUUGAAAUGGCCAUUCAUUUUAAAUGUGAAUAGUUUUUCCCACUGUUGUUUGCCAAAGAAUCUUUUGUGUAUAUGAUACAACCCUAGUUUGCUCAUGCAGUGA
Camellia sinensis is the source of this 722-nucleotide non-coding RNA. Lineage: Eukaryota; Viridiplantae; Streptophyta; Magnoliopsida; Ericales; Theaceae. The record is from RefSeq and is a predicted model, not a curated record.